This is a small nuclear RNA of Nomascus leucogenys (northern white-cheeked gibbon), 106 nucleotides long. NCBI's taxonomy places the organism in Eukaryota, Metazoa, Chordata, Mammalia, Primates, Hylobatidae. The record is from Ensembl.
GUGCUCACUUCUGCAGCACAUAUACUAAAAAAUCAGAACGAUACAGAGAUUAGUACGGGCCCUGCUCAAAGAUGACAUGCAAAUUCAUGAAGUGUUGCAUAUUUUU